GCAGGUGUAGUUCAACGGCAGAAUGCCAGACUUCCAAUCUGACGAUGAGGGUUCGAUUCCCUUCACCUGCU
This is a non-coding RNA of Acanthaster planci (crown-of-thorns starfish), 71 nucleotides long. The record is from the annotation of a RefSeq genome assembly. NCBI's taxonomy places the organism in Eukaryota, Metazoa, Echinodermata, Asteroidea, Valvatida, Acanthasteridae.